Pteronotus mesoamericanus is the source of this 164-nucleotide small nuclear RNA. RefSeq annotates it as U1 spliceosomal RNA. The record is from RefSeq and is a predicted model, not a curated record. NCBI's taxonomy places the organism in Eukaryota, Metazoa, Chordata, Mammalia, Chiroptera, Mormoopidae. The transcript has a single exon.
GUGCUUAACUGGCAGAGAAGAAACCAUGAGCAUGAAGGUUGUUUUCCCAGGGUGAGGCUUACCCCUUGCCCUCUGGACAUGCUGACCCCUGGGAUGUCCCCCAAUGUGUGAAACUCGACUGCAGAAUUUGUGGUAGUAGGAGACUGUGUUCGAGCUUUCCCCUG